CCUUUCUCUAUCUGGUCUCUGCAUACAAGGAUGCAAACUAUGUGCUCCUGUAUCUUGGCUCUCACCUUGAGGGUAAUUAUUGCUAACUUUGAACAACUUACUUAUCUGCCGGGAGGUAGGCAGAUAACAGUUCAGAGUACUUACUACAUUUUUGGUAUGCCCAAGCAUUUUCUAUAAAUUACCAAGGCAGUCUUCAAAGAAAUAGAAAAUAAACCAAGAAAAGAUAAAAGCAGAAGACAAAGUAAGGACCAGAAAGGCACAAAUAUGAAAUGGAACCAGAAGCGAGUGUUAAACAAAACCAGAUCUCUCAGAGACUAGCCUGCUUGCAAAUGAGAUACAAGCCUUGGCUGUAACCAUUCCCAAAUCCAGCACAAGAAGGGAAAGUGGACGGAUUACACCUUCUGCAGUACUUUUUAAAUUUUUUUUACAGGAAGAGUGGACAGUGAGAGAUAGAGACAAGGAGAAAGGUCUUCCUUUUCCGUUGGUUCACCUCCAAUGGCUGCUGCAGCUGGCGCAUCACGCUGAUCCAAAGCCAGGAGCCAGGUGCUUCUCCUGGUCUCUCAUGCGGGUGCAGGGCCCAAGCACUUGGGCCAUCCUCCACUGCACUCCCUGGCCACAGCAGAGAGCUGGCCUGGAAGAGGGGCAACCGGGACAGAAUCCGGCGCCCCGACUGGAACUAGAACCCGGUGUGCCGGCGCCGCAGACGGAGGAUUAGCCUAUGGACCCGCAGCACUGGCUUCCUUUUGCAGUACUUCUAAAAUAAGUAAAAUCAGUUCCUUGUUAGUUCACACCUAUUUCCUAUAGAAAGGCAAAAGGACAUUUUUCCUGAAGUCUCUCUAAAGAGGAUGUUAUUCUUAAUCUUCUUGCAGUGACAUUUUAGCUCAGUUGUUUUCAUGUAGAUGAUGGCACAACUCCACGUGCAAUUAGACAGGGGCAAUGAUGAGUGUGAAGGGGAUCAGAGGUUGUGAGUGACACUUUUACAACAAACAGGAGGGUCUUCUAAAAGUACACUGAAAAACGCAUGUUAGGAAAAAUGUGCAUGCAUUUCAAAGCCUUCUGCACCAAAAUAAACUUAGCUUUUAAUUCCACUUUCCACAAAGUUUUCAAAGUACUCUUGUACAUGGACUUUUAAAAUAAUCACAUACGCUCCCUUCUUUCAGUCACUCCGGGGUGGUAAUCGUCAGGCAUUCUUUAUUUUUUUUCUUCUUCUUGAACCAAAUUAGAAUCACCCUUUAGGACUGAGGGAAGCAGAGCUGGGAAGACUGAUAGUUAAAAGCCGGCAAGAAUCACUUAUUUCUGCCUCACUGGUCACACAUAUUUUGGGCGUAUGAGUCAGCAGUGUGAGCAGGGUGUUCGGGCUAGGCUUUAUCAGAAGUUAUGUAAAGUGCCUAAAGCUGUCCUGCCUCGUUAUUUAAGGCUUUGGGUAGGAGCAGAGUUUAGGUGGUAGGGAAAUUGAACUUAUUUUACAACUGGGACAGCUCAGAUUGGACAACUUCUCUGCUCUAGCUCCCUUGAAAUGGCUUUUUUGGGGUUUGCAAUAUCAUUGUCUUAAGCUUAAGUUGCUCAAGUUGGCCAGAACUCUGAAAUAUCUGACAGAGGUCUCAGCCUGUAAAAAGCUUUCUCUGUGUCAGAUCAGGCGUUCAGUGCAUUUGCUGGCAGGGAGGAAGCUAUCCUGUUGAUUUGUUUUGAUUCCUUGGACAUUAAUUAAGUGCGUUAUAUCACUGGUUAACAUGUGAUUCUCAGGAAGAGGGGGCAAAGAUCAAGGUGCCCUCAGAGUUCCUGCAUAGGAAACUCAUCAUCCGGUGGCCAAGUUAGUUGUGGACAGAACCCUCACCUGCAGAGUGGAGUGGGAUGAUUGCAGGAGAGGCACAGGCACGCAGGGGCCCAGAAGGUAAGAGGGGAUUUUUAGGGAAGACUCCUGUAAGUCUCUUCUAUUGAGGGGGAGAGCAUUUAGCAGACACAAAACUUACUAGACGGAUGAAUGAAGAGGUGUCAACUGAACACGUAAAGAGGAUGUGAAGAUAUGGAGAUGGUUAGAAAAGACACUUAAGCUGAGAGAAUCGCACAGAGGCAAGAAAGCAGGGUGAAUAACAGAGGUGGCUAAAUUUGAGUAAAGAAUGAGGCCUAGAGCACUGUCAAAACCCAGAGGAACCUGGUAAUUUUCAAAGUCACACCUAUGAGUUAAUUGUCUAAAAAUGAGUUUUGAACUAUAAAAGCUCUUGGAAACAAAGGCAGACAAAUACUAUUAUAAGAUUGUGGUUGGUUAAUGUGAGUAAUAUAAAGAUGAUACUAUAACGUGAUAUAUGAAAGGAUAUAAAACCAGGAUUUUGUAAGGAAGAUUACUGUGCUAACCUUUUCGUGCCACAGACCCAUGGAGAUCUGAGGAUAAUGUGGUACACAUCAGAAUACUGUCAUUCUAAAUCACAGGGAGUUGAAGAGGGUUUAAUGAAGAAAUCGCUUUGGAAAUGUAGGUAGGGUUUUGAAAAAUCAACAAGGGAUGAUGAGGUCCCUGGAGCUGUAAGCACGUGGGACUCAUGCCUCCCCUUACACCUGCCCAGGCAGGGAUGGGGUGAUCAAAAAUAGCUUUGGCUAUAGAUGGAAGAAAGAGAAGCUUCCAGAUAGGAGCUGUGACCUUCUGUAGAGGACCAGACCCACUGCCAACCUGUGACCCAAAAGGGAGCCAAGGAAAUGAAUCUUCCAAACCCUCUCUCCCCAGUUUCCUGCUGGAGUCUCCUGCCUGGCACAUGUCUCCUCCUGGGCAAGGACGCCUCAAUGGCAUCCUCACAGCUCAGCCUCUUGGAACACAGUGAGACAGAGGAAGAAGGAAGAUGCCCCUGGAGGGAGAGCUGAGCAAAUCCAGCCCACACGGGGAAACCGAGAAAGUCAGAGCUCAUGGAAACUUGGGGCGUCUCAUGUAUUCCCUUUGUGGUACCUAUCCUGGCAUAGCUCUGUGGACUAUCCUGGCAUUGAGAAGCCAGGAUUCAGGAGCUCAGUGUGUGUCUGCCACAUAGGUGACUAUGCCCCGAGCACAUGAACCAUCACCUGGUGCCUCCCCUGGUGGACAGCAGCAGGAAGCUGUAAUCAGGAGCAGAGCUGCGAGUUGCACCCAGGCACCCUGAAGUGAGAUGCAGAAGGGAAGUUACUACUGUUCUGCAGGACUCUCCACUGUGACGUACGGUUUGAUCCCCAGACCUUAUGUAAGGGAUGACUGACCUUUUCUGUAAUAAUGCCUGGCCACAGUAUGGGACCCCAAACAACAUAACAACAAAAAAAAGACUAAAAGCUGUUGAACUCCAAAUGGUCAUCAGGCAAGACUUCCAGCCCAUUCCACUGGACGACCUGAACAGCCCUCUGGACUGAGCAGCACAGUCUUUCCAAGGCCACUGUUGCACACCAUAAGACAGGUAGCAAAGGGAAAUACCCAAAUCCCCCUUGAUGCCCACAUGCCAGCUUCUAAGAAGUUACAGAAAACAGAACUCCAUCCAUAAUCCCAAAGAAGAAUUUUGGGUAUUACCUCUUGAGGGGAAAAUAUUAGGCAGAAAGUCAGUUAUGAGCUUAUGUGUGUGUGACAUAAAGGCCUAAUGUGUCCAGCAUAUGCAUCUGCAUCUCAGUCAUCCUGACAAUGUUUCACGGGCAGCCUGGCCUUUGCAUCCUGCCCUGCCCCCUUCUACCUGAUAACCUGCCAGGUGGAGAUCCCCGCCCCUUCUGCCUGACAAAUCUUCCACAAUUUCCCAGAUGCAGCCCAGUAUCUGCAUUUCAGUAUUGCAGAACAGGCGGGGGUUGAAUCUCAUGUUCAUGGGGGGGGGGAGUGGUUAUGUGCGGCCCUAAAGGAAAAAUGUUGUUUUUAUGCCGACUAAACUGGGGUGGUUAGAAACUCCAUGGCCAAAUUCAGAAAACAACUGGAAAAACGGCAACGGGAGAGGGAAACUCGACAGGGAUGGUUUGAGUCAUGGUUCGGCCGGUCCCCAUGGCUUACUACCCUACUGUCAGCCCUAGCAGGACCCUUAAUUGUUCUACUCCUAAUUAUAACCAUAGGACCUUGUGUGUUAAAUAGACUCAUCACCUUCAUGCGGGAACAAGUUAAAAAUGUUAAACUCAUGGUCAUAAUACAACAAUAUGUGACAUUAAAAGAGACAAAAACAAAUAAUCUCUAAGAUUAGAGAUCCUCACAACAAGGAGUGGGGAAUGAAGAGUUAAAAUUGUAUAUGUGCGGGUGUAAAAAGUUAAGCUUAAGCUUACAGGUUUAAACUUUCCUGGUGCAGCUGUGAAAAUAAGACAGAGUGAAGUAGCACCUUGAC
Molecule: non-coding RNA, 4298 nt
Organism: Oryctolagus cuniculus (rabbit)
Lineage: Eukaryota; Metazoa; Chordata; Mammalia; Lagomorpha; Leporidae
Source: RefSeq, a predicted model, not a curated record